This 616-nucleotide unclassified non-coding RNA is filed under the name Manduca sexta (tobacco hornworm). RNAcentral describes it as "cytochrome c oxidase assembly factor 1 homolog, transcript variant X1". The record is from RNAcentral. Lineage: Eukaryota; Metazoa; Arthropoda; Insecta; Lepidoptera; Sphingidae.
CGUAGAAUAUUGUUUAGUCUAUGGUUGUAACUAGAAACAAUUUGUCAAAUGUCUUCCGUAAAAAUCUGGUAAAAAUUAAAACGCAAGUCGUGUAUCAAGAUCGAAUUUAUUCCUUUGUUUACUUUAGGCUAAAGCUAAUGUAGUAUUACAUUAACUUUGCUUUACAUUUCAAAUUGAGAUUCGCUGCAAACAUAGAAUAAAAUUCAUAGUGAUAAUUUGAGUAGUCUGAAGAACAUUUUUGAAUAUUUAAGAAGAGGUUGCUUCACAAGUUUUACUUCACCAUUGUAUCUGCUACUACAUGCAUGUGUGAUGGCAAAGAUGCUAGAUUCCGUAUACCAGUAACUGGCCCUAAGGAUAAAGGUGUUUAUUAUUUUUGGGCAGUGAGAGAAAAUAACGAGUGGACAAUCACUAGAGCUGAGUUAGAAUUAAAGUCAAAACCAGAAGCUAGACUCAUUAUUGUAAUUAAUAAGCUGAGAAGUUGAUAUCAAAAAUGUUCAUUGGAAAUGCUAAAGAAAAGUUUAAUUUUCAUAACACCCUACUGUGUAUAGUUAAAGGUUUACAAAACAAAAAUAUCACAUUAGAUCUGCGAAACGAUGCCUACGUAUGUGGCACAAUU